CAAUCCAAACAAUUUAAAAAGUAAACAAUUUAUGGGCAAGGAAAAAAUGGAGGCCCAACUUAUGACUGGUUUUGACUAAUCGGGAGGGAAAAUAGCUGCAAUUUAGCUCGAGUAGAGCUAAAUCUAAAGUCAAGUAGCGCUAAGUCUACAAUACCCAAACACUAAACAGUUUAUAGGAAAAUGCUAGCUAAAAAACUUAGUAGUCUCCAGAUUUUGUAGACGUGCAAGUAGAGAGCAAAGAAAUAAAAAAAUCAUGCUGUCUAUAUUGUCAUCAUAUGUGUCCUUUAUUCAAUCUGCAACUGCUUUUCAAUAACCAUGAGGGCAAAAAGCUGCAAUUCAGGUCAAGUAGAGCUAAAUCUAAACCCAAGUAGAACUAAAUCUACAAUACCAAAAUGUCAAACAGCUAAAAAAAUAUGUUAGAUCCAAAUCUCCAAAGUCUACAGUUUUUUUAGAUCUGCU
This 459-nucleotide long non-coding RNA is filed under the name Ananas comosus (pineapple). RNAcentral describes it as "long non-coding RNA (ACOM_LNC042573)". The record is from RNAcentral. Lineage: Eukaryota; Viridiplantae; Streptophyta; Magnoliopsida; Poales; Bromeliaceae.